AGCAGCCGCGGUAAUUCCAGCUCCAAUAGCGUAUAUUAAAGUUGUUGCAGUUAAAAAGCUCGUAGUUGAAUUUCGGGGUCAGUAGAUUGGUCGUGCCACUGGUAUGUACUGGUCUUACUGGCUCCUCCUUCCUGAUGAACCGUAAUGCCAUUAAUUUGGUGUUGCGGGGAAACUGGACUGUUACUUUGAAAAAAUUAGAGUGUUUAAAGCAGGCUAACGCUUGAAUACAUUAGCAUGGAAUAAUGAAAUAGGACGUUCGAUCUUAUUUUGUUGGUUUCUAGGAUUGACGUAAUGAUUAAUAGGGAUAGUUGGGGGCAUUAGUAUUCAAUUGUCAGAGGUGAAAUUCUUGGAUUUAUUGAAGACUAACUACUGCGAAAGCAUUUGUCCAAGGAUGUUUUCAUUAAUCAAGAACGAAAGUUAGGGGAGUCGAAGACGAUCAGAUACCGUCGUAGUCUUAACCAUAAACUAUGCCGACUAGGGAUCGGAUGAUGUUAAUCUUUUAAUGACUCAUUCGGCGCCG
Molecule: ribosomal RNA, 520 nt
Filed under: uncultured Glomus
Lineage: Eukaryota; Fungi; Glomeromycota; Glomeromycetes; Glomerales; Glomeraceae
Description: SSU rRNA
Rfam family: Eukaryotic small subunit ribosomal RNA
Source: RNAcentral